GGGCGAUUAGCUCAGCUGGUUAGAGCACCUGCCUUACACGCAGGGUGUCGGGGGUUCGAAUCCCUCAUCGCCCACCA
This 77-nucleotide transfer RNA is filed under the name Planctomycetota bacterium. RNAcentral describes it as "tRNA-Val". It matches the Rfam family "tRNA". From Rfam's summary of the family: Transfer RNA (tRNA) molecules are approximately 80 nucleotides in length. The record is from RNAcentral. Lineage: Bacteria; Pseudomonadati; Planctomycetota.